GUAGGUGGCAAGCGUUGUCCGGAAUUAUUGGGCGUAAAGCGCGCGCAGGCGGUUCUUUAAGUCUGAUGUGAAAGCCCACGGCUCAACCGUGGAGGGUCAUUGGAAACUGGAGAACUUGAGUACAGAAGAGGAAAGCGGAAUUCCACGUGUAGCGGUGAAAUGCGUAGAGAUGUGGAGGAACACCAGUGGCGAAGGCGGCUUUCUGGUCUGUAACUGACGCUGAGGCGCGAAAGCGUGGGGAGCAAACAGGGAUUAGAUACCCUGGUAGUCCACGCCGUAAACGAUGAGUGCUAAGUGUUAGGGGGGUUUCCGCCCCCUUAGUGCUGCAGCUAACGCAUUAAGCACUCCGCCUGGGGAUACGGCCGCAAGGCUG
This 373-nucleotide ribosomal RNA is filed under the name uncultured organism. RNAcentral's name for it is "partial 16S ribosomal RNA". It matches the Rfam family "Bacterial small subunit ribosomal RNA", at positions 527 to 896 of the family's 1533-position model. The record is from RNAcentral.